Molecule: ribosomal RNA, 505 nt
Filed under: uncultured bacterium
Lineage: Bacteria
Description: partial 16S ribosomal RNA
Rfam family: Bacterial small subunit ribosomal RNA
Source: RNAcentral
GAUGAACGCUAGCUACAGGCUUAACACAUGCAAGUCGAGGGGUAACGAGAGGGAAGCUUGCUUUCCUUGUCGACGACCGGCGCACGGGUGAGUAACGCGUAUCCAACCUGCCUAUAACUAGGGAAUAACCUUGCGAAAGUAAGACUAAUACCCUAUGAUUUCCUUUGAUGACAUCAGAUUAGGAAUAAAGAUUUAUCGGUUAUAGAUGGGGAUGCGUCUGAUUAGCUUGUUGGCGGGGUAACGGCCACCAAGGCAACGAUCAGUAGGGGUUCUGAGAGGAAGGUCCCCCACAUUGGAACUGAGACACGGUCCAAACUCCUACGGGAGGCAGCAGUGAGGAAUAUUGGUCAAUGGGCGGAAGCCUGAACCAGCCAAGUAGCGUGCAGGAUGACGGCCCUAUGGGUUGUAAACUGCUUUUAUACAGGAAUAAAGUUAGCCACGUGUGGUUAUUUGUAGGUACUGUAUGAAUAAGGACCGGCUAAUUCCGUGCCAGCAGCCGCAGUAA